GGCAAUACCGAGGCAAGCUCAUGGCGCCCUGUCCAUGGUUUUCGCUAUGCUCGUCGCAACAGCUGCUGUCGAAGCACAGAUCGAUGCAUGUGGCGCUGACCUCAGAGCGUUUCUUCCUUCACCUUUCAGUUCAUCCAGGCUCCACUGCGCACCGGUCUGGAACAACUUCAUCCUCAGGCAUUGGCAGAAUCAAGAUAACAUCGUUAGCAUUAUAUUAUCAACAACUUAUACAUCAGGUUGGGUUGGUAUUGGUUUCUCCAAUGAUGGGAAGAUGGUUGGGUCAAGUGCCAUGAUCGGCUGGAUUGACAAUCAUGGCAGAGCAUAUAUCAAGCAGUACUACCUGGCGGCCAGACUAGUUCAGGAGUCAAAGUUGAUCGAGGAAACUUGCUCACAACAGAUACUCCUCCUGCAGUUGUGCUCUAUGGAGACAACAUUUACUUGGCAUUCCAAGUGAACUUUUCAGUUCAACUUGCCCAACCCAACAUUAUUUUGGCCUCCUCGGCAAUAACACCAAACAUGUUUCAUCUAGCAGAACAUGAUGACAAGACAACGUUAUCUUUUGAUUUUUCAUCAGGUGAUCCUGUUAGCACUUACUAUCCAUACCAGCUGAAGAAAAAUCACGGUGCACUUGCGAUGUUUGGAUGGGGUAUUCUGCUACCUUUGGGAGCAAUCGUCGCUCGUUAUCUCAGGCAUAAGGACCCGCUUUGGUAUUACCUUCAUGUAC
This is a long non-coding RNA of Lolium rigidum, 724 nucleotides long. RefSeq lists it as uncharacterized. The transcript has 3 exons. The record is from RefSeq and is a predicted model, not a curated record. Lineage: Eukaryota; Viridiplantae; Streptophyta; Magnoliopsida; Poales; Poaceae.